UGGGAAACUCCAUCUGACAACGUGAGC
RNAcentral lists this non-coding RNA (27 nucleotides) under Homo sapiens (human). The record is from RNAcentral. Lineage: Eukaryota; Metazoa; Chordata; Mammalia; Primates; Hominidae.